GCCCGGAUGGCGGAACUGGUAGACGCGCUGGACUUAAAAUCCAGUGGACAUUUUGUCCUUGGGGGUUCAAGUCCCCCUCCGGGUA
This 85-nucleotide transfer RNA is filed under the name Bacteroidota bacterium. Its description in RNAcentral is "Bacteroidetes bacterium (sediment metagenome) tRNA-Leu". It matches the Rfam family "tRNA". Rfam says of the family: Transfer RNA (tRNA) molecules are approximately 80 nucleotides in length. Their secondary structure includes four short double-helical elements and three loops (D, anti-codon, and T loops). Further hydrogen bonds mediate the characteristic L-shaped molecular structure. tRNAs have two regions of fundamental functional importance: the anti-codon, which is responsible for specific mRNA codon recognition, and the 3' end, to which the tRNAs corresponding amino acid is attached (by aminoacyl-tRNA synthetases). tRNAs cope with the degeneracy of the genetic code in two manners: having more than one tRNA (with a specific anti-codon) for a particular amino acid; and 'wobble' base-pairing, i.e. permitting non-standard base-pairing at the 3rd anti-codon position. Lineage: Bacteria; Pseudomonadati; Bacteroidota. RNAcentral also lists the same sequence under 2 other names. The record is from RNAcentral.